UAACUGUCAGGCUUUCUAAGAGAUACUGUCAGGCUUGGGACCGGGAGAGGUAAGGGGUACUCCAAGGGUAGGAGUGAAAUCUUGUAAUCCUUGGGGGACCAUCCGUGGCGAAGGCGCCUUACCAGAACGGGUCCGACGGUGAGGGACGAAAGCUAGGGGAGCAAACCGGAUUAGAUACCCGGGUAGUCCUAGCUGUAAACGAUGUUCGCUAGGUGUCAGGCACGGUGCGUCCGUGUUUGGUGCCGUAGGGAAGCCGAGAAGCGAGCCACCUGGGAAGUACGGUCGCAAGGCUGAAACUUAAAGGAAUUGGCGGGGGAGCACUACAACGGGUGGAGCCUGCGGUUUAAUUGGAUUCAACGCCGGAAAACUCACCGGGUGCGACAGCAACAUGUAGGUCAGGCUGAAGGUCUUACCUGA
RNAcentral lists this ribosomal RNA (417 nucleotides) under uncultured archaeon. Its description in RNAcentral is "bacterial SSU rRNA". It matches the Rfam family "Archaeal small subunit ribosomal RNA", at positions 560 to 975 of the family's 1478-position model. The record is from RNAcentral.